UCCAGUUUCAUUCUGAUUUAAAGAAACGGCUCCGAUUCACUUCAAGUCUCCAGAUCCAACCUGCAGCAGCCAACAUGGCAGAGAGUCUGUUUCCGAGUUUAACCAAAGUUUUGGGGAAAGAACUGGACCCGUCUGUGAAGAGUAACUGGGAUACAACUGGGACUGGUCUCUGCUGACCGUGGUCAAGAUUCAGAACAAGAAGUUUGGUCUGUUUGAUUCAAACAACAGAUAAAAACCACUGAGACUUAAACUGACCAAUCUUACCCAGGAAAACCUCUGUCUGUAGCCUCAAAGUAAAACACACAUGGAGGAUUACCAGAGUAUCAGCCACCAUGUUGAGGGAAUCUGUUUAGGAGGACAUAAUGGAGCCACAGGUAGAGUGGGGGCCAAGCGGGACUCUAAGGACCCAAUGUGCCCAGUGACUGAUGAAAGAGUUUGUCAGAGACGAGGACUUGGCAAAGCUACGGCACAAGACAAUCGAACUGGAGCAGGGAUUUGUGGACGGCCUUAAGAUGGAGAGCGGAGAGAAACUGGCUUUUGUGGUGCAGAGAUUCUACAACAAGGAUGAGGUCCAGGUUCUGGGCGAAGCUUCGUUUGGAGGGAUUUUUGGAAUAACAGCAUUUAGCUUUGUCGACGUCUCUGAUGAGAGUCAAAUGUCUGGAAUAAAAAGUUUCAUCCUCCCAGAAAAUAAAACCUUUGGUUUUGUUCUCCAAGAGAUGCAGCUGGAUGGAAAUACUGUGAGUUAGAGCAAAGUGUUUUAUUUUUAAAUCUGAGCCUAAUAG
Poecilia latipinna (sailfin molly) is the source of this 782-nucleotide long non-coding RNA. RefSeq lists it as uncharacterized. Lineage: Eukaryota; Metazoa; Chordata; Actinopteri; Cyprinodontiformes; Poeciliidae. The transcript is spliced from 5 exons. The record is from RefSeq and is a predicted model, not a curated record.